This 61-nucleotide microRNA precursor is filed under the name Blattella germanica (German cockroach). RNAcentral's name for it is "Bge-Mir-71_pre stem-loop". It matches the Rfam family "mir-71 microRNA precursor family". The record is from RNAcentral. Lineage: Eukaryota; Metazoa; Arthropoda; Insecta; Blattodea; Blattellidae.
UGAAAGACAUGGGUAGUGAGAUGUUGGUUGUAUCUUGCAUCUCACUACCUUGUCUUUCAUG